Marasmius tenuissimus is the source of this 93-nucleotide non-coding RNA. Lineage: Eukaryota; Fungi; Basidiomycota; Agaricomycetes; Agaricales; Marasmiaceae. The record is from the annotation of a GenBank genome assembly.
UCCGUUAUGGUGUAGUGGCUAACAUUAUCGCCUCUCAUUGAUUGUAGUCAAGCUGGAGCGCGAUAGCCCAGGGUUCGAUUCCCUGUAAAGGAA